GACGAACGCUGGCGGCGCGCCUAACACAUGCAAGUCGAACGAGAGAGAGGAAGCUUGCUUCCUCAAUCGAGUGGCGAACGGGUGAGUAACGCGUGAGGAACCUGCCUCAAAGAGGGGGACAACAGUUGGAAACGACUGCUAAUACCGCAUAAGCCCACAGGUCGGCAUCGACCAGAGGGAAAAGGAGCAAUCCGCUUUGAGAUGGCCUCGCGUCCGAUUAGCUAGUUGGUGAGGUAAUGGCCCACCAAGGCGACGAUCGGUAGCCGGACUGAGAGGUUGAACGGCCACAUUGGGACUGAGACACGGCCCAGACUCCUACGGGAGGCAGCAGUGGGGAAUAUUGCACAAUGGGGGAAACCCUGAUGCAGCGACGCCGCGUGGAGGAAGAAGGUCUUCGGAUUGUAAACUCCUGUUGUUGAGGAAGAUA
This 427-nucleotide ribosomal RNA is filed under the name uncultured bacterium. Its description in RNAcentral is "bacterial SSU rRNA". It matches the Rfam family "Bacterial small subunit ribosomal RNA", at positions 28 to 450 of the family's 1533-position model. The record is from RNAcentral.